GCAAAGCCUUCAUUAAGUGCUUUAUAAAUGACAUUGCCCACUGUACAUCAAAGGUGAGGUUUCUUUAGCCUGUCUCUUAUUUUAUCCUUUUCCUUUCUUUCCUUACAAUUAACCAUUCUCUUCUUCUCAUUAGGUGAGUACAAUAAUGACCAUAUCCCUCUAGUGGAAAUUCAAGUAAAAGGAGAAUUUUCUAGCUAAGCAUGUUGGGUUAGAAGGUUCUUUGGCUGCUCUAUAAGAGUCAAACACAUCUGUCAAUGUCUUGGUUACCCAUUUCUCAAAAAUUUAGGAAAUCAUGAAAGAUUUAUUCAUAAUUCAAAUCAAAAGGGACAUUUUCUAGAAGAAAUCUAUCCUACAGUCUAACCAAACGAAAGCUUCCUAUCAGGAGAACACUACCCAUACUAACUGAUUGGAUUCCUCCUAAAGCAACAGUAUAAGAUCCAAAAUCAUAUUUGUACUUCUCGCCAGUGCAUUACCUAUUCUGUUGCUCUUCUCCUUAUCUUCUAGGUGACUAAGGCUUAGAUUCAUCAUCUAAAAAAAUAACUGAAUACACUAGCAGCUAAGAUGAAAAAUAAGAAAGAGAAACUCCUAUUAACAAAAGUAUAAUAUAUCUAAUACACUCACGCUCGAGUCUUCUAUGAGGUUCAAAAGGGAAACUUAGUUUUUGAAAUGGAAAUCACCAAGUCCCAAAACCUUGUCAUUGCUUUAGUAGAACGAGACCAGGUAACAAAGAGCCUGCAUUUCUUAAAAGAGAAUAUAUAUGAGCUCGAGUGCAUAAAUUAGAUUUAUUUUUGGGGCUAUGCCUCUAUAACUAUAUUUUUGGGUCAUGUAUUAAAAUUUACCUAUGUUUUUGCUUUUGAAAAUAAAUACUUCCCUAUUUUUUAUGUUAUAUUAUCCCCAAUGCAUUUAGUUUUCGCAUUUAGUUCAUUUUAGGGAAUAUGAGAAGGAUUUUUAAAAGCCGGACACAGGAGAUAGAGACUAUAGAACCAUCUUGAUUCCUGUGGUUUUCAAUGUGGCAACAUCCGUCGAGUUAUGAACCUCUUGAUUUCUUUUAUUUAAUGACAACUUUCCUAUAAAAGGAUUAUUUUUUAGGGUUUCAUUCAUGCCUAUCUUUCUUUUCUUUCAUCUAUCUAAAAGAAGAAAUACUUAUAAGGGUCUAUACUUUGAACCAUCGAGGGCCUCCUGCUAUCCUCCACUCAAUUUUGGAUCUUAUAUUUCUUUUAAAUUGGGGAUUUUUCUUACCAUAUAUUUCCUUGCAUAUGAUACAAGAAUAGGUUAAGGACUAUUUUGAGGGACCAAGGUCGAUGACCAUUGGUGUGGGCUCAUCCAAUUAUUUUGCUCCUCAGUGGUCCUGGAAACUGAAACCAUUUCCUUUUCUGGACGGUUAAAGACUCACUUUUGUUUAUGAUGCCCUUAUCAAUUUCUAAUUGAACAAUGUAAAGGUAUCCUCUUUUGAGGAAUACUACUAUAGGGUGAAUUCUCUAGAGGUUCAUAGGGUCGUUUGCCAUUCUUUGCCUCUUUUUUAAGAUUGCUCUAGGUCCCAUUCUCGAAGUUUCUACCUUCUAUUAGGUCCCAUUCUCGAAGUUUCUACCUUCUAUAUGCCCUUUCCAUACGAGUCUUUGCUUCUACGACAAUAAG
This 1635-nucleotide long non-coding RNA is filed under the name Capsicum annuum. Its description in RNAcentral is "long non-coding RNA (CANN_LNC010209)". Lineage: Eukaryota; Viridiplantae; Streptophyta; Magnoliopsida; Solanales; Solanaceae. The record is from RNAcentral.